GACGAACGCUGGCGGCGUGCUUAACACAUGCAAGUCGAACGAUGAUCUCCCGCUUGCGAGGGUGAUUAGUGGCGAACGGGUGAGUAAUACGUGAGUAACCUGCCCUUGACUCUGGGAUAAGCCUGGGAAACCGGGUCUAAUACUGGAUACUACUUCCUGCCGCAUGGUGGGGGGUGGAAAGGGUUUUACUGGUUUUGGAUGGGCUCACGGCCUAUCAGCUUGUUGGUGGAGUAAUGGCUCACCAAGGCGACGACGGGUAGCCGGCCUGAGAGGGUGACCGGACACAGGGGAAGGGAGACACGGCCCAGCCGCCUGGGGGGGGCAGGAGGGGGGAAUAUUGCAAAAGGGGGGGAGGCGUGAGGCAGCGCCGCGGGGGGGGGGAGGAGGUCCUGGGGGUUGAAACCCUUUUAGAGCAGGGAAGAAGCAAAAGGGGGGGUUCCCGGAAAAAGAGGCGCGGCCAAACAACAAC
This 469-nucleotide ribosomal RNA is filed under the name uncultured bacterium. RNAcentral describes it as "partial 16S ribosomal RNA". It matches the Rfam family "Bacterial small subunit ribosomal RNA", at positions 28 to 508 of the family's 1533-position model. The record is from RNAcentral.